AUGCGCACACGGGCGGCAGCGCCCGCGCCUCAGAGCGCCCCUCGAACGCCACCGCAAAACACAAACACUGUCACAUCGGUCAAACUGGCAAACCAAAGCUUUAUUCUUCUGUUGUGGUCUCCAAGCAGGAAGUCCUCUACUUAGAAGCCCAAAGGG
Chiroxiphia lanceolata (lance-tailed manakin) is the source of this 156-nucleotide long non-coding RNA. RefSeq lists it as uncharacterized. The record is from RefSeq and is a predicted model, not a curated record. Lineage: Eukaryota; Metazoa; Chordata; Aves; Passeriformes; Pipridae. The transcript has 2 exons.